GCAUCCUUAGUGUAGCGGUAACACAGUAGCUUCCCAUGUUACUAAUGAGGGUUCGACUCCCUUAGGGUGCU
RNAcentral lists this transfer RNA (71 nucleotides) under Planctomycetaceae bacterium. RNAcentral's name for it is "tRNA-Gly". It matches the Rfam family "tRNA". Rfam says of the family: Transfer RNA (tRNA) molecules are approximately 80 nucleotides in length. Their secondary structure includes four short double-helical elements and three loops (D, anti-codon, and T loops). Lineage: Bacteria; Pseudomonadati; Planctomycetota; Planctomycetia; Planctomycetales; Planctomycetaceae. The record is from RNAcentral.